RNAcentral lists this long non-coding RNA (1102 nucleotides) under Rattus norvegicus (Norway rat). Its description in RNAcentral is "long non-coding RNA NONRATT004453". The record is from RNAcentral. Lineage: Eukaryota; Metazoa; Chordata; Mammalia; Rodentia; Muridae.
AUCUCGAAGCGCUUGGGCGCUCAGUGGAAGCUGCUGGACGAUGAAGAGAAGAGACCCUUCGUGGAGGAGGCUAAGCGUCUUCGUGCCCGCCACCUCCAUGACUACCCCGACUACAAGUACCGACCCCGGCGAAAAAGCAAAAACCCGGGCACCGGGUCGGUCCAUUUCAGCCAGGGAGGAGGUGGCCCGGUAUGUGGAGGCCCACACUGGGGGCCGGGGUACACAACUACCCAAGGGAGUAGGGGCUUUGGGUACCAGCCCCCCAACUAUUCGACAGCCUACAUGCCUGGCAGUUACACCUCUUCCCAUUGCAGACCGGAGGCCCCCUCACCGUGUACUGUCCCUCAGAGUGAUCCUAGGCUCCAAGGGGAGCUAAUACCCUCCUUCCCCCACUACCCAUCUCCAGGCUCUCCCACUCCAUAUAUAUAAUACUUCCCUUGCUGGUGCCUCCAUGCCAGUAACCCACCUUUAACUGGCACGGACAAUCAGGGACAACCCCGAAGACCCAGCCCUUUCAGUUCAGAACCCUAGGAACCAGAAUGCGCAAUUUUGUAUAAUUAAAGCAUGUUUGAGUCUUUUAUUGUCCUAUCUGUAUUCUCUUCCUACAGUGGCAACCAGUGCCGCCUUCUCCACACACCCUUCCGCCAGGACCUGCCACAGCAGGACCCUCCUCGCCCAGCCUUGAGGCCUUAUCUGAGUCAUUCUCCCCCUCCCCCACCUCCAGAACUGGGGUCCAAUAGAUCGUCCCACUCGGGCAGCAGAGGGAAGCAGUCACUAGCUUCCAACCACAUUUCCCAACUCUGUCCUUGGUCCAAAAGGAAGGUGGACAGGGCAAAAUCACCUGCUCCCGUGAGAAAACAGCUGCUUAAAAGGAGGGAUCCCAGGCAACUGGUGAAGUGAGUGAGGGCAGGGCUUUACUAUUCCUACCGCCCAGGCUCAGGAGGUGGCAAAUACAUCGGGAUGGAGGGUGAUUAAGUUGCACCAGCAGAUCGGGUCAUGUGGGAGUUGAGUAGAUGGAUGGAGGUGGAAUUAUUCUAGAAGCUAGCUCUACUGCUGCUUUUUCUGCUUGUGGGGAGCCUUCGCAUUCCAGUAGAAGAGGACC